GUGUUGUUGUUGUUGUUGUUGUUUCCUUUUGUUUCUUUGUUUCUCACUUCUCUGCUUCUCCUGCAGCCCGUGAGCCAUCUCCCUGUGCCCUCCUCACAAGCCACGAGGGUUUCUCCCUCGAAUUUUCUCUCCCUUCCCCAGCUGAGGAGGGAACGAGACAGCAGCUGGGUGGGCACCUGGCCGCCAGCCUAGGCCAAGCCACCACGGCCAUUCACGGGGAUGAAGAGGCUGCACCGUGGGCUUGGAAGCCCAGGGGGUGUCUGUGAGGCUGGGGGAGCUCCUGGGCCCUGCCGCAUCAUCCACCACUCCAUGGUCUCCUAGUGACACGGAGGGAGCACAAUGACACCAGUGACACAGGCGAGUCUGGGGGGGACUUUGCGUCUCUGGUGAGCGCCAGGCGUGGAGGCAGCAGCUCCUGGCAGCGAGGCGAGGCCAGGCGAGGCGAGGAGUUGCUGCGCAGCAUGGCUGCCGGAGAGGAGGAGAAGGCCCCUGAGGCACAGGAGGACGGUGAGAGCAGAUGCCCCAGCAGCUCCCUGGAGGUGGAGGGCCCUGAGCACCCCCUGGGGCUGUGCAGAGCCGCUUGGGCUGUGGACACCCGGGGACGCCCUGCCAGGAGCCCCCGAGCAGGCCCUUGCGGGCGUCCCUCGGGGACACCUGCCAGGUGCUCAGUGGGGGGAUGCUCUCAUCCAUGGCUGCCGCCCUGCCUCCCCCAGAGUGCGUGCUGUGCCACCGCUCGGACACCAGCUUGGAUGGCUGCGGGCCGAUGUUGCAGGUGGACGGGGUCUGCGCCCACGUGCACUGCCUGGUGAGCUCCCCGCGGCUGCCCGCGCCUUUCCCCAAGCCCUUGCCUGGCACCUGGAGCCCACAGGACUGUGUCAUCCCCAGCGCGCUGCUCGCUGGCUGUCACCUCCUCCUGCUGCGCUGCCAGCACAGCCUCCCCACCAUGGUCCCUAUCUCCUUGCCCUGAGCAGCUGCGGGGCUUUGCUCUCUUCCAGUUUCCAGCCCAGGGCCUGUACCAGCGAGGCGCUGAAGGGGAAGGAAUCUUCGGAUUCCUCUGCGCGGAUAUCAGGCGGGUAGCGGGUCGGGCAGCUCGCAAGGUGAGGGCUUUUUUGGAGCAGACGAGGCUUGUGGCAGCUGAGCCCAAGCCCUGGCAAAGAAAUCCUCGAGGCUCUGGACAAGCUCCGGGCAAGUGCCAGUGGCCCCGGCCACGUCCCUGACGGGGCUGCUGUGCUCUUUGCAGCGCUGCUGCGUCUGCCGCAAGAAGGGGGCCACCGUCGCCUGCUGGCAGAAGCGCUGCUCGCGCCGCUUCCACCUGCCCUGCAGCUCCCAGCGGGGCUGCAUCUCGCAGUUCUUUGGGGACUACAGGUACGAGCUGCCCUAGCUUGGGCUGCAGCCCCCUCAGCCUGCGCCCUGCAGGCAGAGUCCCCGGUGUGGCACGCGUGGUCCCUGGCCUCACUCAACUCUUCCGUCCUCACGCAGCUCCUUCUGCUGGGAGCACCGCCCGCAGCAGAGCGUGGAGACGCUGCAGGAGGGGCACACCACGUGCAUCAUCUGCAUGGAGGUGGUGGAGGACAGCCUCUCCUACACCACCAUGGUGUGCCCCUCCUGCAAGCACGCCUGGUUCCACCGCGGCUGCAUCCAGGGACAGGCGCUUCGGGCGGGCCUCAGGCACUUUGCGUGUCCUCACUGCCGGGACCGGGAGCGCUUUCUCCCUGAGAUGCUGCACAUGGGAAUCCGCGUGCCCAACAAAAAGCCGGCUUGGGAGCAAGACGAGGAGGAGGAGCCGGCACUGCCGCAGCUGUAUGGCCGCUGCGAUGCCAGGCAGUGCCUGUACAGGGGAGGCCGCGAGCAGUGGCAAGAGGAAGGGUGAGCAUCCACAGCAGCAGCUCCCCGGCUGCUGGGGGCUGUGAGCCACAUCUCCAGCAAGCCGUGCAGUGGCUGCUGGGGCUCUGCCCAGGCACCUUCCCCUCUGCUGGGGCGCCGUGAGCAAUGGUUCUGGAGCCUUGGGGGCCUUUGUGGCGCCACUGCCUGCUGGGCUCUGCGUGCUCACCAGCACAACUUCUUCCCCAGGCCCUGGCAGCUGCUGCUCUGCUCCUCCUGUGCCGCCAGCGGGACCCACCGCCGAUGCUCCGGCCUUGGGGACACCACGCAGCAGUGGGAGUGCGCUGGCUGCGCUGGCCCGGGCACUGGCACUGCUCCCAGCUCCUCACCCUCACCACCGGAGAGGAGAGCCGGCCGUGGCAGGGUGCUGCCCCAGCGCCACAGCCCCUACAGCCGGCCACAGCCCUGAUCCCGGCCUGGGGACAGAUGCU
This is a non-coding RNA of Anas platyrhynchos (mallard), 2312 nucleotides long. NCBI's taxonomy places the organism in Eukaryota, Metazoa, Chordata, Aves, Anseriformes, Anatidae. The record is from RefSeq and is a predicted model, not a curated record.